This 216-nucleotide ribosomal RNA is filed under the name Glomeromycotina sp. RNAcentral describes it as "partial small subunit ribosomal RNA". The stretch from base 46 to 216 matches the Rfam family "Eukaryotic small subunit ribosomal RNA", at positions 692 to 864 of the family's 1831-position model. Lineage: Eukaryota; Fungi; Glomeromycota. The record is from RNAcentral.
GGGUCAGUGGGUUGGUCGUGCCACCGGUACGUACUGGUCUCACCGAUUCCUCCUUCCUGAAGAACCGUAAUGCCAUUAAUUUGGUGUUGCGGGGAAACAGGACUGUUACUUUGAAAAAAUUAGAGUGUUUAAAGCAAGCUAACGCUUGAAUACAUUAGCAUGGAAUAAUGAAAUAGGACGAUCGAUCCUAUUUUGUUGGUUUCUAGGAUUGACGUA